RNAcentral lists this transfer-messenger RNA (158 nucleotides) under Deltaproteobacteria bacterium. RNAcentral describes it as "partial transfer-messenger RNA". It matches the Rfam family "transfer-messenger RNA", at positions 1 to 152 of the family's 374-position model. Rfam says of the family: Bacterial tmRNA, also known as 10Sa RNA or SsrA, is named for its dual tRNA and mRNA-like properties. Its role is to liberate the mRNA from a stalled ribosome. The record is from RNAcentral. Lineage: Bacteria; Pseudomonadati; Myxococcota; Myxococcia.
GGGGGCGAUCUGGCUUCGACGGGUGGUCGAAGGGAGACGCUGCGUGCCGAGAUGGUCGAGCUCUCGUUAAUCAGACGGCACUGUUGGUAACUUUAUAAUUGCCGACGAUAACUAUGCACUCGCUGCCUAGCUGAAACUAGGUUAGUGACUUCCGUCCG